This 334-nucleotide ribosomal RNA is filed under the name uncultured bacterium. RNAcentral describes it as "bacterial SSU rRNA". It matches the Rfam family "Bacterial small subunit ribosomal RNA", at positions 82 to 430 of the family's 1533-position model. The record is from RNAcentral.
CAACCUGAGUAAAGUGGCGUACGGGUGAGUAACACGUGGAUCAUCUACCUUUUAGUGGGGAAUACCCCCGGGAAACUGGGGACAAUACCGCAUAAGCUCGUGAGAGGAAAGCAGCAAUGCGCUGAAAGAGGAGUCCGCGGCCUAUCAGCUAGUUGGUGAGGUAACGGCUCACCAAGGCUAUGACGGGUAGCUGGUCUGAGAGGACGACCAGCCACACGGGAACUGAGACACGGUCCCGACUCCUACGGGAGGCAGCAGUGGGGAAUUUUGGACAAUGGGGGCAACCCUGAUCCAGCAAUGCCGCGUGUGUGAAGAAGGCCUUCGGGUUGUAAAG